GGGGAAUAUUGCACAAUGGGCGGAAGCCUGAUGCAGCAACGCCGCGUGCGGGAUGACAGCCUUCGGGUUGUAAACCGCUUUCGCCUGUGACGAAGCGUGAGUGACGGUAAUGGGUAAAGAAGCACCGGCUAACUACGUGCCAGCAGCCGCGGUGAUACGUAGGGUGCGAGCGUUGUCCGGAUUUAUUGGGCGUAAAGGGCUCGUAGGUGGUUGAUCGCGUCGGAAGUGUAAUCUUGGGGCUUAACCCUGAGCGUGCUUUCGAUACGGGUUGACUUGAGGAAGGUAGGGGAGAAUGGAAUUCCUGGUGGAGCGGUGGAAUGCGCAGAUAUCAGGAGGAACACCAGUGGCGAAGGCGGUUCUCUGGGCCUUUCCUGACGCUGAGGAGCGAAAGCGUGGGGAGCGAACAGGCUUAGAUACCCUGGUAGUCCACGCUGUAAACGGUGGGUACUAGGUGUGGGGUCCAUUCCACGGGUUCCGUGCCGUAGCUAACGCUUUAAGUACCCCGCCUGGGGAGUACGGCCGCAAGGCUA
Molecule: ribosomal RNA, 530 nt
Filed under: uncultured bacterium
Lineage: Bacteria
Description: bacterial SSU rRNA
Rfam family: Bacterial small subunit ribosomal RNA
Source: RNAcentral